CUAAGAACCAAAGGAGAAGGGCAUGCUUCUGACCAUGGUCUUUUACUUUUGAAAACUGAAGGAUCUAAGAUAUCUCCUCUUGUUCAGGAAGUGAGAGCAGAAUCAGACAGAAAAGAUGAACACAGUGAGAAAGAAUAAAUUGGAAGAAGUGAACUCGAGAUCCAACUUGGUCUUCAAAUGGCCAGUGGAUUACACCAACGCCCUUGCUACAACUCUCGUUCUGUGUUUUGAGAUGUUACCUUUAGAAUCCACUGAAUGCCUGCCUGUAUGUGGAACUGUAAUAGAUUGAAUGGAUACAUUGAAGUUUAGCUUCCUGAACUUGGGCAGAUUUCUGAAAAAUCCCUGAUCUUCAGCUUCAUCAUCUAUCAAUC
This is a long non-coding RNA of Cebus imitator (Panamanian white-faced capuchin), 371 nucleotides long. RefSeq lists it as uncharacterized. The transcript has 3 exons. The record is from RefSeq and is a predicted model, not a curated record. NCBI's taxonomy places the organism in Eukaryota, Metazoa, Chordata, Mammalia, Primates, Cebidae.